This 185-nucleotide transfer-messenger RNA is filed under the name Caldisericota bacterium. RNAcentral's name for it is "partial transfer-messenger RNA". It matches the Rfam family "transfer-messenger RNA", at positions 183 to 374 of the family's 374-position model. Rfam says of the family: Bacterial tmRNA, also known as 10Sa RNA or SsrA, is named for its dual tRNA and mRNA-like properties. The record is from RNAcentral. Lineage: Bacteria; Pseudomonadati; Caldisericota.
GCGUCAAACAGCAGGGCCUCUCUGGUGAGCCCUGCCUGAGGGCAGCCAGGAGAAGCAAACUCGGGCUGGUUUCUGGAAAUCCUGCCUGUGGGAGAUCCGGGAACGAGAGAAAAUACAGGCUACGCUCGUAGAAGCCUUUGGGGUAAGCCUUUUGGACGCGGGUUCGACUCCCGCCGCCUCCACCA